UGUCAGUGACACGGAAGCUGCCUCCUGUAGAGAGAGAUGGCACUGGCUGCAGCUAGGGGGAGCUCCAGAGCACAGCUCCUCCCGGGCCCUUAGUAAGCCAGCCGAGGGAAGCUCAGAACUCUCUGCUCCUCCAUGCUCUGGAUGAUAGCCAAAGACAGCUGAAUCCCGCCCUGCCAGUUUUUGUGCGCCCUGCCGCCCCGCCGUUUGCUGCCUGCCGGACCCCUCCACGUCGGCCAGCCGUGCGCCGCCAGACCCGGUUCCAGCUCCUGUCUCCAGACUUCUGCUAUAGAGACCCGCACCAACAUUCCAUCUGCAGUGUAGCCUGACUCUCCGAUCCAUUCUGGACUCACCUGUUUCCAGUUUCAUCAAUCACCUGCUUCCAGCUCAGCUUCCAGCAGUGUACAGCUUCUCUUAAAGGGCCGGUGUCCUUUCUGCAGUUUACCACUCUCCACCGGUAUUAUUAUUUCACCGCUCUCAAACUCCAAACUUCAUCAAUCACCUGCUUCCAGCUCAGCUUCCAGCAGUGUACAGCUUCUCUUAAAGGGCCGGUGUCCUUUCUGCAGUUUACCACUCUCCACCGGUAUUAUUAUUUCACCGCUCUCAAACUCCAAACUUCAUUAUUAUUUCAUCGCUCUCAAGUUCGUUUAUUAUUUAACUGGUUCCACCCAGUAUCCACUCCGUACCAACAACAGUCUGGUUCCAGCCAGUAUCCACAGCAGCCGUUUUUUCUUCAGCAACCCAGCCUUUCCUGGAACACCAGCUGGUACGAUCCUGGGUUCUCUCCAUUGCUACAGUCAGGCCUGGUAAGGACUUUCCAACUAGAAGAUUAUAAGAACUGUCUCACUCUACCAGUGCCUGUGGCCCUUGCCACCCUGUAGUACCCAGGAAUUGUAUUUAUCCUCUGUUGACUUUUAUGUUUCCUUUACUGCUGCUGUGUUACGGAGUUUGUCUUA
This is a long non-coding RNA of Pseudophryne corroboree (corroboree frog), 953 nucleotides long. RefSeq lists it as uncharacterized. Lineage: Eukaryota; Metazoa; Chordata; Amphibia; Anura; Myobatrachidae. The transcript has 3 exons. The record is from RefSeq and is a predicted model, not a curated record.